This 543-nucleotide long non-coding RNA is filed under the name Monodelphis domestica (gray short-tailed opossum). RNAcentral's name for it is "lncRNA (ENSMODG00000039620.1)". Lineage: Eukaryota; Metazoa; Chordata; Mammalia; Didelphimorphia; Didelphidae. The record is from RNAcentral.
UUGUCUUCACACACAUGCUGGGCAUACUCUGGGUGACAUUCAUAAGAAUAUAGGCACAAGAUUGACAAGAACAUGGGCAAGCAUGGAUAGAUUGUGAUUAGCAUCAUUAAAAUUAUCUGAUAAAAUACCCUGAAGGAAUGUCAUUCAAAAGAACAGAAAAGAAAAUGUUGCACAGAAAACAUUCCAGAGUUUUUGCUUAGUUCCAAUGUCAACAUCGGAACAAGAAGAACGGGCAUCCCCUACUUAAAUGAGAAGAGCCAACAUGAAGGGCUUGGAACUCACGACAGGAAAUCAGUUCUAAAGUGUUGAGAUAAACACACCAAUUUUCUUCCUUCCACAUGCUAUUUCCACAUAAACUUUAACUUCGAGUUAGACCUGUUUGACGGGAGAAGAAAAAGGAUGAAAUUACAAACAGUGGUGGCAGAUUAUCAACAUCAGCGGCAAUCCAAAAAACACUUGAGACGCAAAACAUUUUCUUUGGAUAUCUGACAUUUUUUAGUCAUCAUAAUCUUCUGAGUUUGUGCAAGGAAUAAUAAAUUCCCU